RNAcentral lists this ribosomal RNA (446 nucleotides) under uncultured bacterium. RNAcentral describes it as "partial 16S ribosomal RNA". It matches the Rfam family "Bacterial small subunit ribosomal RNA", at positions 338 to 795 of the family's 1533-position model. The record is from RNAcentral.
CCUACGGGUGGCAGCAGUCGAGAAUCAUUCACAAUGGGGGAAACCCUGAUGGUGCGACGCCGCGUGGGGGAAUGAAGUUCUUCGGAUUGUAAACCCCUGUCAUGUGGGGGCAAAUUAAAAAGAUCGUACCACAAGAGGAAGAGACGGCUAACUCGGGGCCAGCAGCCGCGGUAAUAAAGAGGUCUCAAGCGUUGUUCGGAAUCACUGGGCGUAAAGCGUGCGUAGGCUGUUUCGUAAGUCGUGUGUGAAAGGCGCGGGCUCAACCCGCGGACGGCACAUGAGACUGGGAGACUAGAGUAAGGGAGGGGGAACCGGAAUGCUCGGUGUAGCAGUGAAAUGCGUAGAUAUCGAGAGGAACACUCGUGGCGAAGGCGGGUUCCUGGACAUUAACUGACGCUGAGGCACGAAGGCCAGGGGAGCGAAAGGGAUUAGAUACCCCAGUAGUC